UACGAAGGGUACAAGCGUUGUUCGGAAUUACUGGGCGUAAAGGGCGCGUAGGCGGCCUUCUAAGUCGAACGUGAAAUCCCCGGGCUCAACCCGGGAACUGCGUCCGAUACUGGAAGGCUUGAAUCCGGGAGAGGGAUGUGGAAUUCCAGGUGUAGCGGUGAAAUGCGUAGAUAUCUGGAGGAACACCGGUGGCGAAGGCGACAUCCUGGACCGGUAUUGACGCUGAGGCGCGAAAGCCAGGGGAGCAAACGGG
Molecule: ribosomal RNA, 253 nt
Filed under: uncultured bacterium
Lineage: Bacteria
Description: partial 16S ribosomal RNA
Rfam family: Bacterial small subunit ribosomal RNA
Source: RNAcentral